UUUGUUUUUUCUUUGCUCCCCGAGGGGGGUGGGAUUUUGACAAGAGCCAGAUUAGAGCAAGAGGCAGCUUCCUUAAUGCAAGAAUAAGAACAGAGUAGAAACAGAAUGUACAUGUAUGUAUAUGUUUUUCUCAUAUUA
This 138-nucleotide non-coding RNA is filed under the name uncultured eukaryote. The record is from RNAcentral.